This 301-nucleotide ribosomal RNA is filed under the name uncultured bacterium. RNAcentral describes it as "partial 16S ribosomal RNA". It matches the Rfam family "Bacterial small subunit ribosomal RNA", at positions 509 to 807 of the family's 1533-position model. The record is from RNAcentral.
CAGCAGCCGCGGUAAUACGUAGGGUGCAAGCGUUAAUCGGAAUUACUGGGCGUAAAGCGUGCGCAGGCGGUUAUAUAAGACAGAUGUGAAAUCCCCGGGCUCAACCUGGGAACUGCAUUUGUGACUGUAUAGCUAGAGUACGGCAGAGGGGGAUGGAAUUCCGCGUGUAGCAGUGAAAUGCGUAGAUAUGCGGAGGAACACCGAUGGCGAAGGCAAUCCCCUGGGCCUGUACUGACGCUCAUGCACGAAAGCGUGGGGAGCAAACAGGAUUAGAUACCCGGGUAGUCCCUGUCUCUUAUAC